GACGGAGGGUGCGAGCGUUAUUCGGAUUUAUUGGGCGUAAAGAGCGUGUAGGCGGCCGGUCAAGCCAGAUGUGAAAGCCCAGGGCUUAACCCUGGAAGUGCAUUUGGAACUGGUUGGCUUGAGUUCGGGAGAGGGAAGUGGAAUUCCGGGUGUAGAGGUGAAAUUCGUAGAUAUCCGGAGGAACACCGGUGGCGAAGGCGACUUCCUGGACCGAAACUGACGCUGAGACGCGAAAGCGUGGGGAGCAAACAGG
This 253-nucleotide ribosomal RNA is filed under the name uncultured bacterium. Its description in RNAcentral is "partial 16S ribosomal RNA". It matches the Rfam family "Bacterial small subunit ribosomal RNA", at positions 524 to 776 of the family's 1533-position model. The record is from RNAcentral.